AAUGAUUUACGUGUUUAGCACAUGUUUGUUCAAGCGGGCACCACUCAAAAUAAGCCAUGUGUUCCUCUAAAUUUUGGAACUUAUACAUGAUUUCUAAAGGAUUGAUGUGCGUUCUAUUUUACCUUCGGUUCAUUCAUGAUUUUAGAUGGUGGUUUGCUAUUGGUUUUUGUUGUUGAACAGUUUGAUUGGUUCACAGUUUAUGUUUAUGUGUAGUGCUCUUGAUUUUUUUUACGCGAGCUUUUUAUCUUUUCUUGACUUAUUUACUGCUUGGAUGUGUCUAGGACACAUCUAGAUGGAAUAUAGUUAUUGCACACCUAAAUGACUAAAUCAAC
This 332-nucleotide long non-coding RNA is filed under the name Hordeum vulgare. RNAcentral's name for it is "long non-coding RNA (HVUL_LNC020534)". Lineage: Eukaryota; Viridiplantae; Streptophyta; Magnoliopsida; Poales; Poaceae. The record is from RNAcentral.